This 440-nucleotide ribosomal RNA is filed under the name uncultured bacterium. Its description in RNAcentral is "partial 16S ribosomal RNA". It matches the Rfam family "Bacterial small subunit ribosomal RNA", at positions 338 to 795 of the family's 1533-position model. The record is from RNAcentral.
CCUACGGGGGGCAGCAGUGGGGAAUAUUGGGCAAUGGAGGCAACUCUGACCCAGCAACGCCGCGUGAAUGAUGAAGGUCUUCGGAUUGUAAAGUUCUUUUGUUAGAGAAGAUAAUGACGGUAUCUAACGAAUAAGCACCGGCUAACUCCGUGCCAGCAGCCGCGGUAAUACGGAGGGUGCAAGCGUUACUCGGAAUCACUGGGCGUAAAGAGCGCGUAGGCGGGAUAGCAAGUCAGAUGUGAAAUCCUAUGGCUUAACCAUAGAACUGCAUUUGAAACUGUUAUUCUAGAGUAUGGGAGAGGUAGGUGGAAUGCUUGGUGUAGGGGUAAAAUCCGUAGAGAUCAAGAGGAAUACUCAUUGCGAAGGCGACCUGCUAGAACAUAACUGACGCUGAUGCGCGAAAGCGUGGGGAGCAAACAGGAUUAGAUACCCCUGUAGUC